Molecule: long non-coding RNA, 856 nt
Organism: Ictalurus punctatus (channel catfish)
Lineage: Eukaryota; Metazoa; Chordata; Actinopteri; Siluriformes; Ictaluridae
Source: Ensembl
GUGUGUACACGUCUGUAACACGACGUUAAUAGUGUGAUUAAGGUGUGUACACGUCUGUAACACGUGUUAAUAGUGUGAUUAAGGUGUGUACACGUCUGUAACACGACGUUAAUAGUGUGAUUAAGGUGUGUACACGUCUGUAACACGUGUUAAUAGUGUGAUUAAGGUGUGUACACGUCUGUAACACGUGUUAAUAGUGUGAUUAAGGUGUGUACACGUCUGUAACACGUGUUAAUAGUGUGAUUAAGGUGUGUACACGUCUGUAACGCGACGUUAAUAGUGUGAUUAAGGUGUGUACACGUCUGUAACACGUGUUAAUAGUGUGAUUAAGGUGUGUACACGUCUGUAACACGACGUUAAUAGUGUGAUUAAGGUGUGUACACGUCUGUAACACGUGUUAAUAGUGUGAUUAAGGUGUGUACACGUCUGUAACGCGACGUUAAUAGUGUGAUUAAGGUGUGUACACGUCUGUAACACGUGUUAAUAGUGUGAUUAAGGUGUGUACACGUCCGUAACGUGACUAAAACAGGAAAAACUCCACACGUUUAAUUCCAUCUGUGUUUACUUCGAGUGUGACUUUAAUCAGAUUAAGAUCAUCAGUAAUCUCUGUUUACAUGCUGCUGUCUUAAUCAGAGUAUCGUCUUAAUCGGAUUAAUAUCGGAUUAUCGCCGUCCGUGUAAACAAACUGAUUGUCUCGACAUCAUUUCCUCUCCUUCGUGGCGGGCCGAUCUGAGUAAUCACUCUUUUAUUACAGUCGGCUUUAUUUACAGAAAUGUUUUCAUGGCCAAACCGAGCGAGCGAUUCCUGCCGCAUUUACAAACCUUUCAGCUGCAUUCGUUUUCUGCGUACUCGUGUG